Molecule: long non-coding RNA, 369 nt
Filed under: Castor canadensis (American beaver)
Lineage: Eukaryota; Metazoa; Chordata; Mammalia; Rodentia; Castoridae
Description: lncRNA (ENSCCNG00000031072.1)
Source: RNAcentral
AGCUGCGGCCGGGGAAGUGUUGGGGUGUUUUGUGAUUGAGGCGCGGAUGUGGAGGUGGUUUAGGGAUACCCUGUUGGCUGCCGUUUGAGGUGGCAGAGGGGAAUCCUUUCGAGAGCAUUAAUGGCCCUGGGUCCUGCCUUCGCGCGGAGGAGGCCUCGUUCCCGAGAUCAGGCCUGACCGGGAUAAGCCCCAGGAUAUUUUGUCACCCUUCCAUUCCAUGACGAAAUGAUUCUUCAGGCUUAGAAAGAGUAAGAUGUGUCUGUAAUUCAGAUUACUUCAUCUUUGGUGUUUUUCAGCCCAGGAUCAUUCAUUCUAUGUAACCAAUACUGCUACAAGUAAGACAAGUUCCAGUAUUUUUUCUUUCUUCUU